UCUGUUCCUAUAAGUUCUUCUAUAUUGGUUCAGACAAAAGAGUAAGAACAUUUCUCCUGCCACUAAUUGGUCGUUUUUUCAUCUUUAUUUGGUCUGUGGUUCUAUUUGGACUCACUGCACCAUUAAGGUUUUGUUUUCUGACAUAGUUUCUUCUUGUUUGCGAUGAAAGAUCUACUUUUUUUCAGUUUUUUUGGACAUAUCGAUAUUUCUUGUUUUGCUAAAAGGUUUUUUUAUUUUAUUGGAGGGAGAGAA
Molecule: long non-coding RNA, 252 nt
Organism: Parasteatoda tepidariorum (common house spider)
Lineage: Eukaryota; Metazoa; Arthropoda; Arachnida; Araneae; Theridiidae
Source: RefSeq, a predicted model, not a curated record